RNAcentral lists this ribosomal RNA (253 nucleotides) under uncultured bacterium. RNAcentral's name for it is "partial 16S ribosomal RNA". It matches the Rfam family "Bacterial small subunit ribosomal RNA", at positions 524 to 776 of the family's 1533-position model. The record is from RNAcentral.
UACAGAGGGGGCAAGCGUUGUUCGGAAUUACUGGGCGUAAAGGGCGCGUAGGCGGCCUUCUAAGUCGAACGUGAAAUCCCCGGGCUCAACCCGGGAACUGCGUCCGAUACUGGAAGGCUUGAAUCCGGGAGAGGGAUGCGGAAUUCCAGGUGUAGCGGUGAAAUGCGUAGAUAUCUGGAGGAACACCUGUGGCGAAAGCGGCUCACUGGACCACAACUGACGCUGAUGCACGAAAGCUAGGGGAGCAAACAGG